GUGGAUGGGGGGCGGUGACUCUGUCUCUUGCCUGUGUUCUCCUUUCUAGUGGCCAAAAGGUUGACCACGCUUGAUUACAUGACACAGGGCCGCCAACAGCAAAAGUCGACACACGAGACAGGGAAGAAGGGUGUGAGUUUACAAAUGGAGGACGUGUCACAGCCUCUGGACAGCUCCCUGGGAUCCUCCGAGCAGGGUCUAAGGACGCCUUCCUGACGCCCCAAGUUUCCCUGGAAGCUGAUCUAUCUGCUUCUGGACACUGGUCUGUCCAUCUGCUGUGUGUCCUACAGGACACUGUGCUGUUUAAGGACUGGACUUUACUUGCUGCUGUUCCCUCACUGAGUUAAGUCCGACUCUGCGACCCCAUGGACUGCAGUGCGCCAGGCUGCUCUGUCCUCCACUGUCU
This 406-nucleotide long non-coding RNA is filed under the name Bos mutus (wild yak). RNAcentral describes it as "lncRNA (ENSBMUG00000012775.1)". The record is from RNAcentral. Lineage: Eukaryota; Metazoa; Chordata; Mammalia; Artiodactyla; Bovidae.